AACCAGCACCUCAAGUGGUCAGGAUGAUUAUUGGGCCUAAAGCAUCCGUAGCCGGCUCUGUAAGUUUUCGGUUAAAUCUGUACGCUCAACGUACAGGCUGCCGGGAAUACUGCAGAGCUAGGGAGUGGGAGAGGUAGACGGUACUCGGUAGGAAGGGGUAAAAUCCUUUGAUCUAUUGAUGACCACCUGUGGCGAAGGCGGCUACCUGGUCCGGAUCUGACGCUGAGGCGCGAAAGCGUGGGGAGCAAACAGG
Molecule: ribosomal RNA, 253 nt
Filed under: uncultured archaeon
Lineage: Archaea
Description: partial 16S ribosomal RNA
Rfam family: Archaeal small subunit ribosomal RNA
Source: RNAcentral